Helianthus annuus (common sunflower) is the source of this 2416-nucleotide long non-coding RNA. RefSeq lists it as uncharacterized. The transcript is spliced from 6 exons. Lineage: Eukaryota; Viridiplantae; Streptophyta; Magnoliopsida; Asterales; Asteraceae. The record is from RefSeq and is a predicted model, not a curated record.
ACCACACCCGUGAUAUAAACACGCUUAUUCUCUUCGUGCACCUUAAACCCUAAUUUAAAUAUCCUAUCAUUCUGGCCGUUUCACUUCGUUUCGCAAAGAAGAUAUCGAUCGUUCAUCCCCACAAACCCGAAUUUCAUCAACAAUCAUCAGGCAUGAGCAUAAUUUGGUGUAAAUCUUUGAUUCUUGCUUCCAAUUUAUGAUUCUCGAGGUAACAUAGUUGGAUUCACACCCAUCUCGCAAAUCCGGAUCGUAUCAUUUUUCUCAAACGUACAAGCUAACUUCUCUCAAACCCUAAAUCCGAAGACGCCAUUCAUCUUCAGCCGUUCAUCAUUGAUUCAAGUUUGAUAAACAAAGAUUUCAAGAUCAAUUCUACAAGGAAUAACACAUGUAAAGACAUUGCAACAUCCGUUACUAAGAAACCCUAAAGGGAGAGAAGCUAUAUUUGUAUAUCAAGAAUAUGUGUUGAUACGGAUUAGGCAGGGAGGAUUAGGAGGUGGUGUUGCCUCAGGUUCGGAUCAUGGCCAACCUCAUCAUAACUCUGAGCACAUGAAUGAUAUUAACACAUUCUCGAGAAGUUGAUUUAAUUAAUUAGAUUUUUUAUGUUAAUCUUAGACUAAAUUGCAUAAAACGUGUGGGACUCAGAAAACUUAAACGAACUAAUGACAUAUAAUAUAUAAUAAAAACAGGGGUUUUGUUGAAAGGGGAUGACAAAAGAAGACGGUAAUGAUUUUGUUUUCUGUUCAUGUGAGGGUGGGGAAUUCUCAGAUCCGCCAUUUAUGGUGGUCUUUUCCCAGCUGGUGGUAUUGUUCAAAUUGUUGUGGUGGCUGGAGGUGGGGCUUGGUUGAAUAAGAGAUAGAUAAAGCACCGAUUACAGAGACCUUGAGCACAAGGGGUUGCACUCCUUGGUGGAUUCCGUUUGUCUUCUACACGCGGAUUCUUUUGAGUCUGGCCCGGUUUAAUUCGAUAAUCUUCGUUGUGACAGUGGGCUGUUCAGAUGGAGCAGCGGCGGUCGCCAAAAAGUGACACCCGACGAUUGAAUACGGAGCAACGUUUCAGGUGGUUUCUAGACCCUAUCGAGUUGUUAAAAGCUUUGGUGUGAUUUGGUGAUGAGAGGCCAUCACUCGUGUUCAAUUUAUAGGUAUUUAGGGGCUGUGUGGAUGGUUAAAAAGUCCUGAAAGGACAGCGGUAAUGGCUCUCAAAACUAGACAACAAAGUCACACUUUUAGGCGUGAUUUCGAGACAGCAUUGUGAGGUACAAUGCAGCAGUGAGUUGGGAUCUUUUGCAGUCGUUCGAGAGGUGCUUCACGGUCCGAAACUCUCUACAAACAACCACGACAAGUGUUGGUAAGGGCUGCCAAAACAGAUCGAGAACGUGAAGAAAACCAUGAUUGCGAUUUUCAUUUUUCCAUUCAGGUGUUGAACGAAAAAGUGGUUUUCUAAAAUAUAAGUUCUUCAGUAUGAUUUAGAUUUUGGUAAAGGUAAAGAAUACAUAUAUAUUUACAUAUAAUAAAUGACUAGGUUUCCAAGAACAUAAUCCGUUAGAAGUAAGAUUUCCUGUGCAAGUUUUAUGAUCAUUAGCUAAUUUUGGUUAACUAUACCAGUCUUAUAUUUUUUUUAUUAAUUGCUUAGGGGCGAAUAUGUUUCUGAACUUGAAGAGAGGAAUAAUGAGGUAACUCAGUUACGGGUAAAGGUUGAAAGCUUUACUAUGCAAGAGAAUACAUUGGAUGAAAGAAUGAGGUUAAUUGAUUAAUUCUUACAUUUUCCUUCUACAGAUUCCAUACUACAGAUCAACUCACCUGAAGUUGUUCUUGGAUAUCUGUAUUCUUGAAAUCGAAAUUUGUUUUUAUAUUUUUAUUAUCAUGAGUUUUUGUGUUUUGCUAACCAGAUCCCUGCCCUAAAACGGCCAUGGUUAACACCAACUUUAUAAAAUAAAAUUUUUUUAAAUAAUAUAUUUUUUGUUAAUUAUUAACCACCAACCAUAUUCUAAGGUUGCUCUUUCUGUUAUCCAAACUCUUUUUGAAGUCAAGGCAGAAAAGGUCUGUUUAGUGGCGUCAUGGUUUAGACAUGGGUUGGAUGGAAUUACGUGGGGUAUGGUGCUGGAAAAGACAGGUAUUAACUCACGAUGAAGCUGUUGAACUGCAGAAAAUGAUGGUUGUUCUGCUGAAUGUAUGCAUGUCUUUAACUAAGGAUCGCUGUUAAUGGGGUCUUCACUCAUCAACCGAUUGAAUAUAAAAAAAAUUAAGUAGAGACGAUGAAUUCAUCAAGUGAAGUCUCUGAAUUUUGCUUGAUCUAUAUUAUCUCAUAUUUACAUUUGUUGUUGUAGUUUGAGUGAGAAUGUUGUGUGUAGAGAUUCUAAGUGAUAUUACAGAAUUAAACUCUCUUACUUUCUAUAGAAUGAUGCCAAUAUGUUAUUGAA